UAGGAAAUUAUUGUUAAAGAAUGGACAAUUAAGCUGGGCCAUACUGCCAAUCUUGCGAAUCGUCGUAUGGCUGAAUUUAAAUUAUGUGUGAAAAGAUUUGGGGCAUGUCACUUCUGAUGCUUAUGGCUUGUGCAGCAUAAAGACGUAGUUGACGUGCUAUUGUGAUUUUAUUAUAGAUGAUUUGUUUAGGUUAGCAUGUGCAAGAAA
Molecule: long non-coding RNA, 207 nt
Filed under: Elaeis guineensis (African oil palm)
Lineage: Eukaryota; Viridiplantae; Streptophyta; Magnoliopsida; Arecales; Arecaceae
Description: long non-coding RNA (EGUI_LNC004637)
Source: RNAcentral